ACUGGAUCCAUCUCUGCAUAUCA
RNAcentral lists this non-coding RNA (23 nucleotides) under Arabidopsis thaliana (thale cress). Lineage: Eukaryota; Viridiplantae; Streptophyta; Magnoliopsida; Brassicales; Brassicaceae. The record is from RNAcentral.